Molecule: ribosomal RNA, 253 nt
Filed under: uncultured bacterium
Lineage: Bacteria
Description: partial 16S ribosomal RNA
Rfam family: Bacterial small subunit ribosomal RNA
Source: RNAcentral
UACGUAGGGUGCGAGCGUUAAUCGGAAUUACUGGGCGUAAAGCGUGCGCAGGCGGUUUUGUAAGUCAGAUGUGAAAUCCCUGGGCUCAACCUAGGAACUGCGUUUGAAACUACAAGGCUAGAGUGUAGCAGAGGGGGGUAGAAUUCCACGUGUAGCAGUGAAAUGCGUAGAGAUGUGGAGGAAUACCAAUGGCGAAGGCAGCCCCCUGGGUUAACACUGACGCUCAUGCACGAAAGCGUGGGGAGCAAACAGG